AAUGAACGUUGGCGGCGUGGAUUAGGCAUGCAAGUCGAGCGAGAUCUGUAGCAAUACAGUGAAAGCGGCGAAAGGGAGAGUAAUGCGUAGAUACGUACCUUGGGGUUCAGGAUAGCGUCGGGAAACUGACGGUAAUACUGGAUAAUGUCUUCGGACCAAAGAUUUAUUGCCCUUAGAUCGGUCUGCGUCCUAUUAGCUAGUUGGUGGGUAAUGGCCUACCAAGGCGAAGAUGGGUACUGGGUGUGAGAGCACGACCCAGCUCACUGGGACUGAGACACUGCCCAGACACCUACGGGUGGCAG
This 302-nucleotide ribosomal RNA is filed under the name uncultured Planctomycetota bacterium. RNAcentral describes it as "bacterial SSU rRNA". It matches the Rfam family "Bacterial small subunit ribosomal RNA", at positions 29 to 351 of the family's 1533-position model. The record is from RNAcentral. Lineage: Bacteria; Pseudomonadati; Planctomycetota.